GCGGGUGUCGUCUAGCGGCAAAGGCUCCUGCCUUACAAGCAGGUAAUCGGAGGUUCGAGUCCUCUCACCCGUAC
Molecule: transfer RNA, 74 nt
Filed under: Streptomyces phage StarPlatinum
Lineage: Duplodnaviria; Heunggongvirae; Uroviricota; Caudoviricetes; Stanwilliamsviridae
Also listed under: 30 other names
Description: tRNA-Val
Rfam family: tRNA
About the family: Transfer RNA (tRNA) molecules are approximately 80 nucleotides in length. Their secondary structure includes four short double-helical elements and three loops (D, anti-codon, and T loops).
Source: RNAcentral